ACUGAUUAUCUUAACUCUCUGA
Molecule: microRNA, 22 nt
Filed under: Homo sapiens (human)
Lineage: Eukaryota; Metazoa; Chordata; Mammalia; Primates; Hominidae
Description: hsa-miR-3920
Source: miRBase by way of RNAcentral